AAGAGGCUGAGUUGAAAGCUAGUGCUUUUGAUUUACCAGUCAAUCUGAGAAUUGACCAACAUGAGAAACUGUACUGGAAGAUAUUUGGAGUAGAGUCACUGUUCCUCCACAUUGAAAGAAACCUGUAAAUAUGGCUCGGCCAUCUGUUUUUGGAUACCUGUUUAUGGAGGUGCUCUGGGAUUGUCCCACCAGGAGGAAGCUCCAAACUGGAUGAACUUUGACUUGUAUCUCCUGGCAAUUGCUUGGGAUACACCUGGAGAAGUAGGAGCAGAUUAUGUUGGGGUUCUUUUGAGAAAUAAGUGACCUCUAUGAUCUGGUUGAAGAUGGAUUGACUAAUGUGACCACAGGGAAAAUGGCAGCUGCACCACACCACAUGGGACAAAACCUUUGAGGACUCCACUUUUUGAGGGAGGAUCUGGUUUCUCACAAUGGUUGUGCUGCUUUUCCUUUGGAGAAAGAUCUGUAGGCCAUCAUGAGAGUAUUGCAAUGAGCUACAGACUGAACCAGCUCAACACCUGCACUAGUGGAAAUCUCUCCACACCUGCUGACCUCGCUAUAACAACUUUUUAUAGAUCCCCUUUGUUCACUACAGGUUUUGUUUUUCUUGGCAACUUGUUCCACAACAAAUGUUUUGGCAGUACAUCUUUCCUUAAGUUGCGGUUUUAAGGCAGUGUAAUGCUUCUCUCCAGUGUGAACCCUUAUGUUUG
Long non-coding RNA from Danio aesculapii, 707 nucleotides. RefSeq lists it as uncharacterized. The transcript is spliced from 3 exons. The record is from RefSeq and is a predicted model, not a curated record. Lineage: Eukaryota; Metazoa; Chordata; Actinopteri; Cypriniformes; Danionidae.